GUUUCUGCUGGAUAAUGCAGCUAAAGAGAGCUAGUGGAGUGUGGACUUAUUUUCAGGUUCAGCCGAGCAGCCCUAAUGAUAUCUUUGGUCAACAAGUUGUUCCAGCAACAGUGCUGCUUGACAUUUAACUGGCGUCAUGCUGUAUAAUCUCACAGGGCAACCCCGGAGCUGGCUUUACUUUAAUUGUGUUUUCUCUUAUUUAUAUAAAUGACUGUGAAAACAAUGUGAGCUUAGAUGCAUGUAUACCCAUUAUUGUAAUGAAAUGUUUAUUAAGAUAAUAUCGCUUCUAUACUUUUCAGACUUUCAGCUCAAACAAAACGAAGGAGGAUUUUACGGUCGUUGAUGAAGUGUUUUGUGUCCUCGUUUCUGCUAAAACCACCAGGGGCUGACCAAAUGAAUUGCUGUAGCAUUCACAACACACAAGCGCGCAAGCCGCACAACGCCGACAGAUGAAACCGAUGAAAGGGGCUGAAUACGGUGGCGAAGAGAAGUGGUCCUUGAUGUCCCCCAGGUGUGUCACUGUGUGUGUGCAUCGACGUCUGGGCUGUGGGACAAAAUAAGACCCCCGGAACCAUCUCGGGAUGGUUUGUCCUUCUGUCCUUCCUACUCUCUUGAAGGGGAUUUUAAAUCCAAUCAAAUUAUACAUAUUUUUCUGGAUGGAUCCUUGAACAAUUUCCCAAUGUCAAAUUUUUGCUUCAAAAAUGUUGCUCGGCCCUUCAGAACUCAUAGCUCGUGUUUAAGCGUUUUUUUGUUUCAAUGAUUACGGAUAAAUAACAUUUUGUUUGUUAAUUGAAGAAAGACAGAUUAUAAACCUAUUAUGAUUGGAUCUGACCGAAUAAAAUUCCAUUUUAAAAGAAACACUAGGAACCUUUCACUGUCCAAUGAUAUCAUAUGCCGGCCAUGUCAGUGUAACAUGACUUCCUAUCGUAAAUGUUUUUAGGUUUUUCAUUUAAUUCCUGCUAGGGUACUAGGGGUUUUAUAAAUCAAUCUCAGUUGACUUAACUUGAUUGAAGAUAAUUGUGUUGCCUGUUAUAUAUAUAUUGAUGUGUGUUUGUUUUCCUGGUUUAAACUGGCAGUUAAGUAAUUAAAUAGUAAAACUAUAAUAAAGAUCAAAAAGAAUGAAGAGAA
Long non-coding RNA from Gasterosteus aculeatus aculeatus (three-spined stickleback), 1128 nucleotides. Lineage: Eukaryota; Metazoa; Chordata; Actinopteri; Perciformes; Gasterosteidae. The record is from Ensembl.